Molecule: transfer RNA, 80 nt
Filed under: Shangwua denticulata
Lineage: Eukaryota; Viridiplantae; Streptophyta; Magnoliopsida; Asterales; Asteraceae
Description: partial tRNA-Leu
Source: RNAcentral
GGUUCAAGUCCCUCUAUCCCCAAAAAGACCAUUUGACUCCCUAAUUAUUUAUCGGAUCCUUUUUAUUUAUUUUAUCCUUU